ACGACUCUCGACAACGGAUAUCCCGGCUCUCGCAUCGAUGAAGAACGUAGCGAAAUGCGAUACUUGGUGUGAAUUGCAGAAUCCCGUGAACCAUCGAGUCUUUGAACGCAAGUUGCGCCCGAAGCCAUUAGGCCGAGGGCACGUCUGCCUGGGUGUCACGC
Molecule: ribosomal RNA, 161 nt
Filed under: Pimpinella thellungiana
Lineage: Eukaryota; Viridiplantae; Streptophyta; Magnoliopsida; Apiales; Apiaceae
Description: 5.8S ribosomal RNA
Rfam family: 5.8S ribosomal RNA
About the family: 5.8S ribosomal RNA (5.8S rRNA) is a component of the large subunit of the eukaryotic ribosome.
Source: RNAcentral